RNAcentral lists this ribosomal RNA (456 nucleotides) under Escherichia coli. RNAcentral's name for it is "bacterial SSU rRNA". It matches the Rfam family "Bacterial small subunit ribosomal RNA", at positions 1056 to 1512 of the family's 1533-position model. The record is from RNAcentral. Lineage: Bacteria; Pseudomonadati; Pseudomonadota; Gammaproteobacteria; Enterobacterales; Enterobacteriaceae.
CAGCUCGUGUUGUGAAAUGUUGGGUUAAGUCCCGCAACGAGCGCAACCCUUAUCCUUUGUUGCCAGCGGUCCGGCCGGGAACUCAAAGGAGACUGCCAGUGAUAAACUGGAGGAAGGUGGGGAUGACGUCAAGUCAUCAUGGCCCUUACGACCAGGGCUACACACGUGCUACAAUGGCGCAUACAAAGAGAAGCGACCUCGCGAGAGCAAGCGGACCUCAUAAAGUGCGUCGUAGUCCGGAUUGGAGUCUGCAACUCGACUCCAUGAAGUCGGAAUCGCUAGUAAUCGUGGAUCAGAAUGCCACGGUGAAUACGUUCCCGGGCCUUGUACACACCGCCCGUCACACCAUGGGAGUGGGUUGCAAAAGAAGUAGGUAGCUUAACCUUCGGGAGGGCGCUUACCACUUUGUGAUUCAUGACUGGGGUGAAGUCGUAACAAGGUAACCGUAGGGGAACC